Molecule: ribosomal RNA, 403 nt
Filed under: uncultured bacterium
Lineage: Bacteria
Description: partial 16S ribosomal RNA
Rfam family: Bacterial small subunit ribosomal RNA
Source: RNAcentral
GACGAACGCUGGCGGCGUGCCUAAUACAUGCAAGUCGAACGCAGUGGGGACGGGUGAGUAACACGUGGGUAACCUCCCAUCAGAGGGGAUAACACUUGGAAACAGGUGCUAACCCGAUACCGAUGUAUGGACCCGCGGGGCAGUCGCUAGUUGGUGAGGUAACGGCUCACCAGGGCCACGAGGCAUAGCCGACCGGAGAGGGUGAUCGGCCAAACGGGGACUGAGACACGGCCCAGACUCCUACGGGAGGCAGGAGGAGGGAAUCUUCGGCAAGGGCCGAAAGGCUGACCGAGCAAUGCCGCGUGAGUGAAGAAGGUUUUCAGAUCGUAAAACUCUGUUGUUAGAGAAGCGGUAUCUAACCAGAAAGCCACGGCUAACUACGUGCCAGCAGCCGCGGUAAUAC